AAGUCGUAACAAGGUUUCCGUAGGUGAACCUGCGGAAGGAUCAUUAACACGUAUCCAACGUUAAAACCCCCUGUGAACCUUCAUUGUGGACCCCCAUUCCGUUAGAACGCGGCAAUCCCUGGUAAAUCAUCGCCGAACAGUUUUGAUUCAGGGACCUCUGCAUGGUUUGGGCAGCUCCGCGAGGCAAGGCCGGCGACCGGGUCACUGGGCUCUGCCCCCCUAUCACCUUUGCAUGAAACCGGGCCUGCGCUUAAUUGUGCGGCCACCAAACUUCGAACAACUGUUAACAAUGGAUAUCUUGGUUCUC
This 307-nucleotide unclassified non-coding RNA is filed under the name fungal sp. Its description in RNAcentral is "partial internal transcribed spacer region". The stretch from base 1 to 46 matches the Rfam family "Eukaryotic small subunit ribosomal RNA", at positions 1786 to 1831 of the family's 1831-position model. The record is from RNAcentral. Lineage: Eukaryota; Fungi.